Small nucleolar RNA from Neltuma alba, 107 nucleotides. The record is from RefSeq and is a predicted model, not a curated record. Lineage: Eukaryota; Viridiplantae; Streptophyta; Magnoliopsida; Fabales; Fabaceae.
AUUUGGUGAUAUGGGCAUUUAGUAAGAAAAGCUAUGAACCUUGUCUAAUACUCAUAAAGACUUUCUCCAAUCUCUUGUUGAACACUAUAAAUUUCCUUCCUCAUCCU